RNAcentral lists this ribosomal RNA (742 nucleotides) under uncultured bacterium. RNAcentral describes it as "bacterial SSU rRNA". It matches the Rfam family "Bacterial small subunit ribosomal RNA", at positions 8 to 796 of the family's 1533-position model. The record is from RNAcentral.
AGAGUUUGAUCCUGGCUCAGAACGAACGCUGGCGGCAGGCUUAACACAUGCAAGUCGAACGCAUCCUUCGGGGUGAGUGGCAGACGGGUGAGUAACGCGUGGGAACGUGCCCUUCAGUUCGGGAUAACCCAGGGAAACUUGGGCUAAUACCGGAUACGUGCGAGAGCAGAAAGAUUUAUCGCUGAAGGAUCGGCCCGCGUCUGAUUAGCUAGUUGGUGAGGUAAUGGCUCACCAAGGCGACGAUCAGUAGCUGGUCUGAGAGGAUGAUCAGCCACAUUGGGACUGAGACACGGCCCAAACUCCUACGGGAGGCAGCAGUGGGGAAUAUUGGACAAUGGGCGCAAGCCUGAUCCAGCCAUGCCGCGUGAGUGAUGAAGGCCUUAGGGUUGUAAAGCUCUUUCGUCCGGGACGAUAAUGACGGUACCGGAAGAAGAAGCCCCGGCUAACUUCGUGCCAGCAGCCGCGGUAAUACGAAGGGGGCUAGCGUUGUUCGGAAUCACUGGGCGUAAAGGGCGCGUAGGCGGCUUUAUAAGUCGGGGGUGAAAGCCUGUGGCUCAACCACAGAAUUGCCUUCGAUACUGUAGAGCUUGAGACCGGAAGAGGUAAGUGGAACUGCGAGUGUAGAGGUGAAAUUCGUAGAUAUUCGCAAGAACACCAGUGGCGAAGGCGGCUUACUGGUCCGGUUCUGACGCUGAGGCGCGAAAGCGUGGGGAGCAAACAGGAUUAGAUACCCUAGUAGUCC